Molecule: ribosomal RNA, 480 nt
Filed under: uncultured bacterium
Lineage: Bacteria
Description: partial 16S ribosomal RNA
Rfam family: Bacterial small subunit ribosomal RNA
Source: RNAcentral
AAUGAACGCUGGCGGCGUGCCUAACACAUGCAAGUCGAACGAGAAAGCCCGCAAGGGUGAGUACAGCGGCGCACGGGUGAGUAAUACAUAGGAAUCUGCCUCUGAGUGAAGAAUACCCUAGAGAAAUUUAGGUUAAUACUGCAUAAGCCCAGAAAUGGGGAAAGGUGGCCUCAAGCUACCGCUGAGAGAUGAGCCUAUGGCCUAUUAGCUAGUUGGUAGGGUAAAAGCCUACCAAGGCGAGGAUGGGUAGCCGGCCUGAGAGGGUGUACAGCCACACUGGGACUGAGACACGGCCCAGACUGCUACGGGAGGCAGCAGUGGGGAAUAUUGGACAAUGGGCGGAAGCCUGAUCCAGCAACGCCGCGUGAGGGAUGACGGCCUUCGGGUUGUAAACCUCUUUCAGCACAGACGAAGCUCACUUGUGGGUGACGGUAUGUGCAGAAGAAGCACCGGCCAACUACGUGCCAGCAGCCGCGGUAA